Molecule: ribosomal RNA, 843 nt
Filed under: uncultured Lentimicrobium sp.
Lineage: Bacteria; Pseudomonadati; Bacteroidota; Bacteroidia; Bacteroidales; Lentimicrobiaceae
Description: bacterial SSU rRNA
Rfam family: Bacterial small subunit ribosomal RNA
Source: RNAcentral
UAUAGUUGAAGUUGGCGGAAUGUGUCAUGUAGCGGUGAAAUGCUUAGAUAUGACACAGAACACCGAUCGCGAAGGCAGCUAGCUAAGCUAUAACUGACGCUCAUGCACGAAAGCGUGGGGAUCAAACAGGAUUAGAUACCCUGGUAGUCCACGCUGUAAACGAUGAUUACUCGAUGUUGGCGAUACACAGUCAGCGUCUGAGCGAAAGCAAUAAGUAAUCCACCUGGGGAGUACGAUCGCAAGAUUGAAACUCAAAGGAAUUGACGGGGGCCCGCACAAGCGGAGGAGCAUGUGGUUUAAUUCGAUGAUACGCGAGGAACCUUACCUGGGCUCGAACGUAAGAUGACUGUAGGUGAAAGCUUACAUCUCUUCGGAGCAUUUUACGAGGUGCUGCAUGGUUGUCGUCAGCUCGUGCCGUGAGGUGUCGGGUUAAGUCCCAUAACGAGCGCAACCCCUACCUUUAGUUGCCAUCAGGUCAUGCUGGGGACUCUAAAGGAACUGCCUACGCAAGUAGUGAGGAAGGCGGGGAUGACGUCAAGUCAGCACGGCCCUUACGUCCAGGGCUACACACGUGCUACAAUGGCCGAUACAGAGGGCAGCUACCUGGUGACAGGAUGCAAAUCUCCGAAGUCGGUCUCAGUUCGGAUCGGAGUCUGCAACCCGACUCCGUGAAGUUGGAUUCGCUAGUAAUCGCGCAUCAGCCAUGGCGCGGUGAAUACGUUCCCGGGCCUUGUACACACCGCCCGUCAAGCCAUGGAAGCUGGGGGGACCUAAAGUCGAUAACCGCAAGGAAUCGCCUAGGGUAAAACCAGUGACUGGGGCUAAGUCGUAACAAGGUAGCCG